Molecule: ribosomal RNA, 355 nt
Filed under: Escherichia coli
Lineage: Bacteria; Pseudomonadati; Pseudomonadota; Gammaproteobacteria; Enterobacterales; Enterobacteriaceae
Description: partial 23S ribosomal RNA
Rfam family: Bacterial large subunit ribosomal RNA
Source: RNAcentral
GGAGAUAGCUGGUUCUCCCCGAAAGCUAUUUAGGUAGCGCCUCGUGAAUUCAUCUCCGGGGGUAGAGCACUGUUUCGGCAAGGGGGUCAUCCCGACUUACCAACCCGAUGCAAACUGCGAAUACCGGAGAAUGUUAUCACGGGAGACACACGGCGGGUGCUAACGUCCGUCGUGAAGAGGGAAACAACCCAGACCGCCAGCUAAGGUCCCAAAGUCAUGGUUAAGUGGGAAACGAUGUGGGAAGGCCCAGACAGCCAGGAUGUUGGCUUAGAAGCAGCCAUCAUUUAAAGAAAGCGUAAUAGCUCACUGGUCGAGUCGGCCUGCGCGGAAGAUGUAACGGGGCUAAACCAUGCAC